GGGGCUGAUCCCGCCAUGCGCGUGUGUGAAGAAGGCUUUUGGUUGAAAGACUUUAAGCAGUGAAGAAGACUCUAUGGUUAAUACCCAUAGACGAUGACAUUAGCUGCAGAAUAAGCACCGCUAACUCUGUGCCAGCGGCC
RNAcentral lists this ribosomal RNA (140 nucleotides) under uncultured Psychrobacter sp. RNAcentral describes it as "partial 16S ribosomal RNA". Lineage: Bacteria; Pseudomonadati; Pseudomonadota; Gammaproteobacteria; Moraxellales; Moraxellaceae. The record is from RNAcentral.